AGUUCUUCCAACAAAUCUAUUUAAUGUGGCUUCUAAAUGGAGUCAUGUUAAGGAACUGCCCGGUGGCUUUCACAUGCAUCUUGUGCCGAUGAGGUUUUAAAUGUAGAUAAACAUCCCUUGUACAUCACUUGAAUAUUUUUCAGGGUGAUAUUUUUUUUCCCUUAGUAAAAGCAGCUUACAAGGAAACUCAAGGGCAGAGAUGAUCAGCCCAGGCACUCCUGUGUGGUGUGUGUCACCCUGCCGGGAGGCUGAUCUGCGUCUCAGGGCUGCUAAUGGAUGAUGCGUGAGAGAGCCACGAAAGGCCAGCGGGAAGCAGGCUGGCAUUAGAACCCCACAAAUGGCAUCAUCUGUGGGGUACGGCUUGGGGAGGAGGGCAGGCCACUGGAGGCGGCUGGCUGUCCCUGGAGGCUGGAGCUUCUCAUGCUGUGUGGCAGGUGGCAUUUCAGCCAUUUCUAAAGCCAGCCCCUGGCAGGGACCCUGCACUGAGUCCAUCUGUGAGGAUGGAGAUCUCUGGAAAGGGGUCUCUUCAUCUCUUCCAGAAUUCAGGAGCACUGAAGUUACAGAGAACAGCAUGAAGACACACGUUUGAAUCCAGGCUAUGCUCUCCCCACCUCCUUGCCUUCGUUCUUCCCUCAUUCCUUUCACCACUACUACCCAACCCUGAAACCUAGCCGUCUCUAUAGAAAUAUAGAAAUUUGUUUCCCAGGUGUAAAAUGUAGCAGUGACAGGUGCAGACUAUU
This 740-nucleotide long non-coding RNA is filed under the name Mus musculus (house mouse). RNAcentral describes it as "long non-coding RNA chr15:80620169-80620909". The record is from RNAcentral. Lineage: Eukaryota; Metazoa; Chordata; Mammalia; Rodentia; Muridae.